GGCUGUUCCUGCACUUGUGCACUGGGGCCGUGAUGACCAGCUUGGCGCAGGCCUCGAUGGCGCUCGGCACCGGCCUCUCCUCUUGUCCCCACUCACUUUAGGCCUGCGGUGGAGUCCUCGCCUCUCCCGGGGACGCUGCAGUUCUCCAGGGUCCGAAGGCCGGAGAAGUCCAGGGAUGCGAGGUUCCUCAGCUUCUGCUCACCUGGCGCUGGAACUUGCAGCAGCCGGCGAGGUGGCCUCGGGAGACGACCAGGUGACCUGGUCUCCCGACAGGCCCGUGUUGUAGAGCACUGUCCUUCCACCAGGAGAAGCCCAGGGCCACACAGGCUGCAGAAGCCCGCAAGGGUGCAGUCUCUCACCGGCACCAGGCAGGGUUCCACCAAUGAGUGAGACCCUGUCAAAGUGAUGUUUGCACUACAAUCUCCAACAUGACAAAUCAACCUACUGCAGAUCUGGUGGGAGAGAGCUCCGACAAUAGACGCAAAGACCCUGAAAAGGAAAUAAACCCUAAGGUGUCCACGGAUCCAAAAGGAGGUCAUGCUGAAGGAGAUGGGGCUCUGACGCUGUAACAGAGCUUUGCGUAUUUUUCAGAGCUGGAGAGGAAGACAAUAGUUAUGUUUUGAGCAGGGCGGUGACAUCCCUGCGAGGAUCAUUUCAGCUUCUGAGAAGAGAAAACUUAACCAUAGAACAGCAGAGGUCAGAAGGAAUCCGGGAAGUCCACAGUGACGACGUGGCGUGGACUGGGUAGAGAGGGACUUAGUGAGAAGAGUGGUACUUUUUGCUGCUCCUCCCCUGCCCUCCCAUCUCACCUGUGCUCCUGUUCUUGUUUUUGUUAACUUAGUGUAACAGUUGGUGAGUGCGUAUUGUAUCUUGGUGUCAGGUUUCGUUGCCUCUGUCACCUCUAGUUCCCUUUUCUCUAUCCUUUACUUCCUCGUUAUUGCUUCUUGACCCUAUUUCUCUUUCAUUUCCUCUGUAGUGAGGCCUUAUAAAGUUCAAUUUGCUUUCCUUCACCGAUAGACCUGGAUUUCUAAUCUUUUCUAGGCUAAGGGAGCAUAUGAAGAGUCUAAUUUAGCCGGACUAGGUAACUAAAAAUAUUAUGACCUAGACUCGCCCGAUUAGGUGCCUGUAGAAUAGAUUUGCAUCAUAGCACUGACUGGCAAUGAAAAUGCUUCAUCUAAAGGAAGCUGCGAGAAGAUGACAUGUCUGUCCUGCACGUGGAACCAGGUGAGACGCUAACUCCAUUUUAAUUUGGCUGUGUUUAGUCUUGUUUGGUGUUGAGAAUGAAUCAAUGAAUGAAUAAAUUAGUGAAUGAAAAAAUAAAAACAAUGCAAGAG
Fukomys damarensis (Damara mole-rat) is the source of this 1334-nucleotide long non-coding RNA. The record is from Ensembl. Lineage: Eukaryota; Metazoa; Chordata; Mammalia; Rodentia; Bathyergidae.